AACGCGAAGAACCUUACCAGGGUUUGACAUCCUGCGACCGCUCCCUAAUAGGAGUUUUCCCGCAAGGGACGCAGAGACAGGUGCUGCAUGGCUGUCGUCAGCUCGUGUCGUGAGAUGUUGGGUUAAGUCCCGCAACGAGCGCAACCCUCGCCUUUAGUUGCCAUCAUUAAGUUGGGCACUCUAGAGGGACCGCCGGCGACAAGCCGGAGGAAGGUGUGGAUGACGUCAAGUCCUCAUGGCCCUUACACCCUGGGCUACACACGUGCUACAAUGGCGGUGACAGUGGGCAGCUAACUCGCGAGGGGGAGCCAAUCCCAAAAAGUCCGCCCCAGUUCAGAUUGGAGUCUGCAACUCGACUCCAUGAAGCCGGAAUUGCUAGUAAUCGCGGAUCAGCACGCCGCGGUGAAUACGUUCCCGGGCCUUGUACACACCGCUAGUC
This 439-nucleotide ribosomal RNA is filed under the name uncultured bacterium. Its description in RNAcentral is "bacterial SSU rRNA". It matches the Rfam family "Bacterial small subunit ribosomal RNA", at positions 958 to 1398 of the family's 1533-position model. The record is from RNAcentral.